GUGUAAUUGUGGAUGGCGAGAGCCCUGAAAUACAGCUGGACAGCAGCGGUCUACAUCACUGCCCCUUCUGCAGAUACAAAGGGUCAAAAUGUGAUAUCGACCAUCACAUUAAAUGCCAUGCCUCGGUUAAAUACAGAGGUCUGCAGAGGAGCUUUCAGGAAGCAGGAAGAGAAGACGGGAGGAAAAAAAGCUACAGGAUAAAGAUCUCUGCACAAAAAGGGCUAGAGUUGCUCCAACAGCAUCCAGCUCUGAAGGAUCAGGUCAUGUAUAGACUGUUAAUCCAGGUGAAUCCAUGUAGGCCUACACAUAUUCAGAGUAUUUGUGAGAUAUGAUUGAUUCUAUUAGGCUUCUACUUCCAAAUUAAGUUGUACACAUAUCUCCAUCAAUAUACAAGUUAUAGCCUACUCCAUGGCUGAUCUAUUGCAUACUUGGGCCUACUUUUAUUAUUCCAUUGUAUUGGCCUACUCAACAUUACAGACAACAAUCUGUUUUAUUUCCAGACAAAACUGAAGACCAGGAACUGGAACCUGGGAACCUGGAAGAUUAUGUUGUCCUGAAGGACACAAUUCAGGCAGCAGCAUGGUGCCAGUUACAGUCCUUCAAGGACAGCGUUUCUCUCCCAGAGGUCAUUGGGAUGGAAGGUUGGGAGCAGAUGGCAGCAUCAACACAGCGCAAAUCCCAUGACGGCGGGGAUGAGGAAGAAACGUGGAAACCAUUCCAAUUCUCAUUCAGAUUACAUACUGACUAUGAACUGUUCUGUGUGGAGAUGAUGGACAGGAGAAACCUGAAGGUGUUUGCCUCUUUUGAGUCAAA
Molecule: RNA transcript, 813 nt
Organism: Gadus macrocephalus (Pacific cod)
Lineage: Eukaryota; Metazoa; Chordata; Actinopteri; Gadiformes; Gadidae
Exons: 4
Source: RefSeq, a predicted model, not a curated record